Molecule: ribosomal RNA, 896 nt
Filed under: uncultured euryarchaeote VAL112
Lineage: Archaea; Methanobacteriati; Methanobacteriota
Description: bacterial SSU rRNA
Rfam family: Archaeal small subunit ribosomal RNA
Source: RNAcentral
UUCCGGUUGAUCCUGCCGGAGGUCACCGUUAUCAGGUUUCGACUUAGCCAUGCGAGGCGUGAGUCAUCUGGACUCGCCGAACUGCUCAGUAACACGUAGUUAACCUAACCUCAAGUGGAGGAUAAUCCCGCGAAAGUGGGGCUAAUACUCCAUAGCUGUUGAAUGCUGGAAUGCUUUAACAGCCAAAGCCUCGGCGCUUGAGGAUGGGACUGCGACCUAUCAUGGUAGUUGUGAGUAUAAAAUACUCACAAGCCCGUAACGGGUAGGGGCCAUGAGAGUGGAAGCCUCGAGAUGCCUUCUGAGACAUGAAGGCAGGUCUACGGGACGCAGCAGGUACGAAAACUUUCCAAUAGCUUAACGGCUGAGAGGGGAAGCCUGAGUGACUAUGCACUGCAUAGUCUUUUGCUUUGCUUAAAAAGCAAGGCGAAUAAGUGGUGGGUAAGACGGGUGGCAGCCGCCGCGGUAAUACCCGCGCCACGAAUGGUGACCACGAUUAUUGGGUCUAAAGCGUCCGUAGCCGGUUCAACAAGUUCUUGGUUAAAUCCAGCAGUUGACUAUUGGAAUGCUGAGAAUACUGUUAGACUUGGGAUUGGGAAAGGAGAAAGGUAUUCCACGUGUAGGGGUUAAAUCCUUUAAUCCGUGGAAGACCUCCGGUGGCGAAGGCGUUUCUCUGGAACAAGUCCGACGGUGAGGGACGAAAGCUAGGGGAGCAAAUCUAAUCUUUCGAUAAAAAGAUGAGAGCUCAAAUGGGAUUAGAUACCCCAGUAGUCCUAGCUGUAAACGAUGUCCGUUUGAUGUUGCAAACUCUACGGGAGUUUGCAGUGUCGGAGCGUAGGUGUUAAACGGACCACCUGGGGAGUACGGCCGCAAGGUUGAAACUUAAAGGAAUUGGCGGG